GAUGAACGCUGGCGGCGUGCCUAAUACAUGCAAGUCGAGCGAACGGACGAGAAGCUUGCUUCUCUGAUGUUAGCGGCGGACGGGUGAGUAACACGUGGAUAACCUACCUAUAAGACUGGGAUAACUUCGGGAAACCGGAGCUAAUACCGGAUAAUAUUUUGAACCGCAUGGUUCAAAAGUGAACGACGGUCUUGCUGUCACUUAUAGAUGGAUCCGCGCUGCAUUAGCUAGUUGGUAAGGUAACGGCUUACCAAGGCAACGAUGCAUAGCCGACCUGAGAGGGUGAUCGGCCACACUGGAACUGAGACACGGUCCAGACUCCUACGGGAGGCAGCAGUAGGGAAUCUUCCGCAAUGGGCGAAAGCCUGACGGAGCAACGCCGCGUGAGGGAUGAAGGUCUUCGGAUCGUAAAACUCUGUUAUUAGGGAAGAACAUAUGUGUAAGUAACUGUGCACAUCUUGACGGUACCUAAUCAGAAAGCCACGGCUAACUACGUG
Molecule: ribosomal RNA, 497 nt
Filed under: uncultured bacterium
Lineage: Bacteria
Description: partial 16S ribosomal RNA
Rfam family: Bacterial small subunit ribosomal RNA
Source: RNAcentral